RNAcentral lists this ribosomal RNA (492 nucleotides) under uncultured bacterium. Its description in RNAcentral is "partial 16S ribosomal RNA". It matches the Rfam family "Bacterial small subunit ribosomal RNA", at positions 29 to 507 of the family's 1533-position model. The record is from RNAcentral.
AGUGAACGCUGGCGGCAUGCCUAACACAUGCAAGUCGAACGGCAACACAGUAAGAGCUUGCGCUGACGGGUGGCGAGUGGCGUAAGGGAGAGGAAUAUAUCCGGACCUGCUUUUUCGUGGGGCUUAAGGUAGGGAAACUUACGCUAAUAUCGCAUACGACCUACGGGGGAAAGCAGGGGAUCUUCGGACCGGGCGCGAUUGAAUGAGCCGAUGUCGGAUUAGCUAGUUGGCGGGGUAAAGGCCAACCAAGGCGACGAUCCGUAGCUGGUCUGAGAGGAGGAUCAGCGACACUGGAACUGAGACACGGCCCAGACUCCUACGGGAGGCAGCAGUGGGGAAUGUUGGACAAUAGGCGGAAGCCUGAUCCAGCAAUCCCGCGUGUGUGAAGAAGGCCUUCGGGUUGUAAAGCCCUUUUGUUGGGAAAGAAAAGCAGCAGGCUAAUACCCCGCGGUUCUGACGGUACCGAAAGAAUAAGCACCGGCUAACUACGUG